GAAAGUAAAGAAGGGCGCAUGGCGGAUGCCUUGGCUCUCGGAGGCGAUGAAGGACGUGAUAAGCUGCGAUAAGCUCCGGGGAGGUGCAAAUAACCUUUGAUCCGGGGAUUUCCGAAUGGGACAACCCGGCGUGUUGAAGACACGCCACCUGAUCAUUUCAGGAGCUAACGCAGGGAACUGAAACAUCUUAGUACCUGCAGGAAAAGAAAAUAACAAUGAUUCCCCCAGUAGUGGCGAGCGAACGGGGAAUAGCCCAAACCGUUCAUGUUACGGCAUGAUCGGGGUUGUAGGACUACGUCGUUGCAUGAAGACAUCGGAGAAGAACUUUCUGGAAAGAAAGACCAUAGAGCAUGACAGUUGCGUAUUCGUAUGUUGUCGAAGCAUAGUAGUAUCCUGAGUAGCGCGGAGCACGAGGAAUUCUGCGUGAAUCUGCCGGGACCAUCCGGUAAGGCUAAAUACUCCCGAGAGACCGAUAGCGAACCAGUACCGUGAGGGAAAGGUGAAAAGCACUUCGAACAGAAGAGUGAAAUAGUUCCUGAAACCGUGCGCCUACAAGCGGUCGGAGCUCAGCAAUGAGUGACGGCGUGCCUUUUGCAUAAUGAACCUACGAGUUGCCUUUGCCGGCAAGGUUAAGUGUGACGACACACGUAUCCGAAGCGAAAGCGAGUCUGAAUAGGGCGUAUAGUCGGCAGUGGCAGACGCGAAACCAAGUGAUCUACCCUUGGCCAGGUUGAAGGCUGGGUAACACCAGCUGGAGGACCGCACCAAUAAGCGUUGAAAAGCUUCUGGAUGAGCUGAGGGUAGGGGUGAAAGGCUAAUCAAACUUGGAGAUAGCUCGUACUCCCCGAAAUGCAUUUAGGUGCAGCCUUGUGGGUUACUGAUGUGAGGUAGAGCGACUGAUAAGAUGCGAGGGCUUCACCGCCUAUCAAGUCUUGACAAACUCCGAAUGCGCAUCAGUUUUACCUCAGGAGUGAGGGCAUGGGUGCUAAGGUCCGUGCCCGAGAGGAGAAGAAUCCGGACCACCUGCUAAGGUCCCGAAAUGACAGCUAAGUUAAACUAACGAAGUCUGACUGCUAAGACAGCUAGGAUGUUGGCUUGGAAGCAGCCAUUCAUUUAAAGAGUGCGUAACAGCUCACUAGUCGAGGAGUCUGGCGUGGAUAAUAAUCGGGUAUUAAGUUGUCUACCGAAGCAGUGGGAUCAUUGAAAUGAUCGGUAGGGGAGCAUUCCAGUCAGCGUCGAAGGCGUACCGCGAGGUAUUCUGGAGCGUCUGGAAAAGCAAAUGUAGGUAUAAGUAACGAUAAAGGGGGCGGGAAACCCCCUCGCCGAAAGACUAAGGUUUCCUGAUCAACGCUAAUCGGAUCAGGGUAAGUCGGGUCCUAAGGCUCAGCCGAAGGGCGAUGCCGAUGGCAGAAACGGUUAAUAUUCCGUUACUACCUCCAGGAGUGAUGUGGAGACGCAGUAGUGACAAUGCCGCCAUCUGACGGAAUAGAUGGUUGAAGGGUGUAGAUGUUGAUCUUGGCAGGCAAAUCCACCAUGAGAAUCGAACCUGAUAGUAUGCCGCGUCCCUCGGGACAAGGCAAUAGUGCAUGUAAUCAUGCUGCCAAGAAAAUCCGCUAAACUAAAUCCUGUAGGUACCCGUACCGUAAACGGACACACGUAGUCGGGAUGAAUAUUCUAAGGCGCUUGAGUGAUUCACGGUUAAGGAACUAGGCAAACUGACCCUGUAACUUCGGGAUAAAGGGUCCCUACCCGGUGACGGGAGGGCGCAGAGAAUAGGUCCAGGCAACUGUUUAACAAAAACACAGGGCUGUGCGAAAUCGAAAGAUCCUGUAUACAGCCUGACACCUGCCCGGUGCUGGAAGGUUAAGAGGAGACGUCAUCGUUGAGAGAAGCGUUGAAUUGAAGCCCCAGUAAACGGCGGCCGUAACUAUAACGGUCCUAAGGUAGCGAAAUUCCUUGUCGGGU
This 1965-nucleotide ribosomal RNA is filed under the name human gut metagenome. RNAcentral's name for it is "bacterial LSU rRNA". It matches the Rfam family "Bacterial large subunit ribosomal RNA", at positions 1 to 1977 of the family's 2925-position model. The record is from RNAcentral.